This is an RNA transcript of Musa acuminata AAA Group (dessert banana), 1240 nucleotides long. RefSeq lists it as uncharacterized. The record is from RefSeq and is a predicted model, not a curated record. NCBI's taxonomy places the organism in Eukaryota, Viridiplantae, Streptophyta, Magnoliopsida, Zingiberales, Musaceae. The transcript has 2 exons.
AAAGUGCGCAUUAUGGAUAACUCCGCUCUCUUUGGAACCAAAAACUAUGUACGUAAAGCUACUUUGGGAUUAAUUCCGAGCUCAUCCAAAGAAGCAAAAAAACCCGAUUUCUUACUGGAUCGGGUACGAAGCAAGUCCGAUAUGGUUAUUUUAUUUGAUUAUCUUCGCCCGAAUCCGAAGCCUCGAUAUCUGAAUCGGUUCGGAUCUGCUGAUGAUGUUGGAGUCGUUAUCCGAUACCUCAUAAUCGGGUGGGAGUCUCGAGAGAUCGUCGACUCUCUAUAUUCCUCUUCGUCGCCUCUCUCUCCCUCUCCUCUUAUCGCCGGGCGCCUGUGGACGUCCUCUUCCUCCUUGCAUCACCGGUCGUACCCCUCGGAUCCGCCGUGACUCUGUUACAAGCAUCCAGGUUCUUCUUCUUUAUCGUCUAUUUCUCUUCCCGACAUUUAGAGAGGCCUUUUUGCGGACGAUCAGCGUGCGUGUAACGCCCCAUCCAAGUUCAAGUUGCGUUGACCGGAGUAGUAUAUAUAUGCAUAUAUGUAUGCCAACCAUGGAGCUACCAGUGUCGGAAAACAAUACACGGGCCACCAUGGAGCUACCAGUGUCGGAAAAGAAGACAGAGCGCGAGCCAGAGCAGCAACCAGCAUCACCACCGCCGCAGGCUGAUGCCAAUGGCUUCAAUUUCCUUACCAUCAUCGCCCUCCUGUUCCUCACCGUCAAUUCGGCGGACGUCGCCUACCGAUCGCGCCACGAUCCCCCGACGCUGGCCUUCGUGGUGUUCACCUACUCUGACUUGAUGAUGCUCCUUUUUUGCCUCAAGAAGAUGGAACAGCUGCCACUGGAGGGGAGGGAGCGACUCAAGUUCCCGGUUUGGGCCCUCUCGACGGCUCUCAUCCUCGCGUUCUCGUGGCUGGUGGCGGAGAUAAUGCCUCUGGUACUGGCUGUCGUCGUCUGGCUAUUGUCGGGAUCCGUCGCCGUGGGUGGGUUUUAUGGGCUGUUCAUAUAUCGGGAGACGGAGGACGGUGGUGUCGUCGAUCAUGCUUAUUCUCUUGCCAAAACCAAUGAGCUCUCUCCCGAAGAGAAAGUCUAAUGCUGUGCACCGGGCAUUUAGUAUUCUUGAUCGCUCUGCUAUGCAGCUUGCACUGAGCAUGUAAUAUACUUAGUCGCUGCAUUUUACAUAACGAUCACACUUGGAAUAUAUAAUUCAAUAAUGCUAUCUAUGAGCUAAUUACAUAUUUUUCUCUUA